GAUGAACGCUGGCGGCGUGCCUAAUACAUGCAAGUCGAGCGAACGGACGAGAAGCUUGCUUCUCUGAUGUUAGCGGCGGACGGGUGAGUAACACGUGGAUAACCUACCUAUAAUACUGGGAUAACUUCGGGAAACCGGAGCUAAUACCGGAUGAUAUUUUGAACCGCAUGGUUCAAAAGUGAAAGACGGUCUUGCUGUCACUUAUAGAUGGAUCCGCGCUGCAUUAGCUAGUUGGUAAGGUAACGGCUUACCAAGGCAACGAUGCAUAGCCGACCUGAGAGGGGGAUCGGCCACACUGGAACUGGGACACGGUCCAGACUCCUACGGGAGGCAGCAGUAGGGAAUCUUCCGCAAUGGGCGAAAGCCUGACGGAGCAACGCCGCGUGAGUGAUGAAGGUCUUCGGAUCGUAAAACUCUGUUAUUAGGGAAGAACAUAUGUGUAAGUAACUGUGCACAUCUUGACGGUACCUAAUCAGAAAGCCACGGCUAACUACGUG
RNAcentral lists this ribosomal RNA (497 nucleotides) under uncultured bacterium. RNAcentral's name for it is "partial 16S ribosomal RNA". It matches the Rfam family "Bacterial small subunit ribosomal RNA", at positions 28 to 507 of the family's 1533-position model. The record is from RNAcentral.